GACGAACGCUGGCGGCGUGCCUAAUACAUGCAAGUUGAGCGCUGAAGGUUGGUACUUGUACCGACUGGAUGAGCAGCGAACGGGUGAGUAACGCGUGGGGAAUCUGCCUUUGAGCGGGGGACGAACAUUUGGAAACGAAUGCUAAUACCGCAUAACAACUUUAAACACAAGUUUAAGUUUGUAAAGAUGCAAUUGCAUCACUCAAAGAUGAUCCCGCGUUGUAUUAG
RNAcentral lists this ribosomal RNA (227 nucleotides) under uncultured bacterium. Its description in RNAcentral is "partial 16S ribosomal RNA". It matches the Rfam family "Bacterial small subunit ribosomal RNA", at positions 28 to 244 of the family's 1533-position model. The record is from RNAcentral.